GACAGAGGGUGCAAACGUUGUUCGGAAUUACUGGGCGUAAAGCGCGUGUAGGCGGCAAGGCAAGUCGGAUGUGAAAGCCCACGGCUCAACCGUGGAAGUGCACCCGAAACUGCCUCGCUAGAGUCUCGGAGAGGAAGGUGGAAUGCUUGGUGUAGAGGUGAAAUUCGUAGAUAUCAAGCGGAACACCGGUGGCGAAGGCGGCCUUCUGGACCGGUAUUGACGCUGAGGCGCGAAAGCCAGGGGAGCAAACGGG
Molecule: ribosomal RNA, 253 nt
Filed under: uncultured bacterium
Lineage: Bacteria
Description: partial 16S ribosomal RNA
Rfam family: Bacterial small subunit ribosomal RNA
Source: RNAcentral